CAGCCGCCGCGGGAAAACGGAGGGGGCUAGCGUUGUUCGGAAUUACUGGGCGUAAAGCGCACGUAGGCGGCUUGGUAAGUUAGAGGUGAAAGCCCAGGGCUCAACCCUGGAAUUGCCUUUAAGACUGCCGAGCUAGUAGGUGAGAGAGGUAAGUGGAAUUCCGAGUGUAGAGGUGAAAUUCGUAGAUAUUCGGAAGAACACCAGUGGCGAAGGCGUUCGACGAGAACGGGCCUGACGGUGAGGGGCGAAGGCUAGGGGAGCAAACGGGAUUAGAUACCCCUGUAGUCCCUGUCUCUUAUAC
This 301-nucleotide ribosomal RNA is filed under the name uncultured bacterium. RNAcentral describes it as "partial 16S ribosomal RNA". It matches the Rfam family "Bacterial small subunit ribosomal RNA", at positions 509 to 807 of the family's 1533-position model. The record is from RNAcentral.